AGCAGAGCAGAAGUCCCAUCAAGGCCUUUUGCAACGAAGUGAGCAGCGUACUCUUUCACUGUGGUUUCUCUGUACUUUGGAGGAUUCUCUUCUGAUAACAACUCUGUGAUGGGUCCAUAGAGUCUUGAUCUUGACAUAAGGUCUGUGGUAAAAAAGCUUGCCACAGAUACUCUUGGUCCUAUAUGGUUUGCCAGCACCCUAUGCUCAACACUUACGAACUUGUCGUUUGAUAUGAGCUGUAGAAGAUCUCC
This 251-nucleotide unclassified non-coding RNA is filed under the name Hevea brasiliensis (rubber tree). Lineage: Eukaryota; Viridiplantae; Streptophyta; Magnoliopsida; Malpighiales; Euphorbiaceae. The record is from RNAcentral.